GCUCACUGCAACCUCUGCCUCCCCGGUUCAAGCAAAUCUUCUGCCUCGGCCACCCAAGUGGCUGGGAUUACAGGUACCCGCUACCACAUCCAGCUAAUUUUUUGUAUCUUUAGUAGAGACGGGGUUUCUCCAUGUUGGUCAGGCUGGUCUCAAACUCCUGACCUCAGGUGAUCCACCCACCUUGGCCUCCCAAAGUACUGGGAUUAGAGGUGUGAGCCACUGCACCGGGCUCGGGCCUUUUUUUUUUUUUUUAAGAGAGAGUUUGCUCUGUCACCCAGGCUGGAGUGCAGGUGGCAUGAUCUCGGCUCACUGCAGCCUCCACCUCCCGGGUUCAAGCAAUUUUCCCACCUCAGCCUCCCAAGUAGCUGGGAUUACAGGCACCCGCCACCAUGCCUGACUAAUUUUUGUAUUUUUAGUAGAUACAGGGUUUCACCAUGUUGGCCAGGCUGAUCUCGAACUCCUGAUCCCAGGUGAUCCACCCGCCCCGGCUUCCCAAAGUACUGGGAUUACAGGUGUGAGCCACCGCGCCCGGCCGAGACUCUUUUGAUGUCAGAAAAAAUGCCGAAUGCCAGAAUCUGGGCUCCUGGUGUGUGGGCGGCUCCACAUCGGGCUUUGGCACGCACCGUCUGUACGAGAGGCCAGCUUCCAGCGUGGCUGAGGUCCCAGGUCCCUCCGUGCCCAGCAAUGCCUGUGUCCCAGACAGCACAGGUUGCUGCCUCCUUCUCACCAGCAGGACCUGCUGAGCAUCUGAGCUGCCUGGGGUGUCACAGGAUAUCUUGACUGGGGGGCAGCAACCAUCCCCCAACCACAAGGACAGAAGCCAAAAACCACCAAGAGACAGAACCCUUAUCUGAGAUGAUGUCACAGGUGGCUGCAUUCACCUUGGACUUCUACCCUCUUUCGCUGCACUGCAGUAGGACAAACCCGUGCGCUGGGAAGUUUCCUGUCAUUUGUAGCUGGACGGUUAUAGAAGCAGCUGAUCCAGCUGGCAUAUCUCUGCGAGGGUUGUAGCGGAAAUCAUAUGGGUUUCUACCCAUCCCAUAUUGGUGGUCUUUAUUUCUUUGUGUCUUUUAUUAAUAUUAUGAUAUCUGUUUCUUUUUUUGCUAGCAUUUGUCUGUUUUAUUGAAGGAUAAUAAACAUAUAUCAAAGUACACCUAUUUUCUUUUUUUUUUUUUUUUUUUUUUUUGAGACGGAGUCUCACUGUGUCGCCCAGGCUGGAGUGCAGUGGCCGGAUCUCAGCUCACUGCAAGCUCUGCCUCCCGGGUUUUUACGCCAUUCUCCUGCCUCAGCCUCCCAAGUAGCUGGGACUACAGGCGCCACCACCUCGCCCGGCUAGUUUUUGUAUUUUUAGUAGAGACGG
Molecule: long non-coding RNA, 1360 nt
Filed under: Macaca fascicularis (crab-eating macaque)
Lineage: Eukaryota; Metazoa; Chordata; Mammalia; Primates; Cercopithecidae
Description: lncRNA (ENSMFAG00000064694.1)
Source: RNAcentral